This 217-nucleotide ribosomal RNA is filed under the name uncultured bacterium. RNAcentral's name for it is "partial 16S ribosomal RNA". It matches the Rfam family "Bacterial small subunit ribosomal RNA", at positions 118 to 319 of the family's 1533-position model. The record is from RNAcentral.
UAGGUAACCUGCCUCUAAGAUUGGGAUAACUUGUCGAAAGACGAGCUAAUACCAAAUAAGAUCACGGUCUCCUCGGGGACAGAGGUCAAAGGUAGCCUCUAUUUAUAAGCUAUCGCUGAGAGAUGGGCCUGCGUACCAUUAGCUUGUUGGUGAGGUAACGGCUCACCAAGGCAAAGAUGGUUAGCUGGUCUGAGAGGAUGAUCAGCCACACUAGAAA